Molecule: ribosomal RNA, 437 nt
Filed under: uncultured bacterium
Lineage: Bacteria
Description: bacterial SSU rRNA
Rfam family: Bacterial small subunit ribosomal RNA
Source: RNAcentral
AUGGGAACGCGAAGAACCUUACCUAGACUUGACAUCUCCUGAAUAGUGUAGAGAUACAUGAAGCCCUUCGGGGCAGGAAGACAGGUGGUGCAUGGUUGUCGUCAGCUCGUGUCGUGAGAUGUUGGGUUAAGUCCCGCAACGAGCGCAACCCUUAUUACUAGUUGCUACCAUUAAGUUGAGCACUCUAGUGAGACUGCCCGGGGUUAACCGGGAGGAAGGCGGGGAUGACGUCAAAUCAUCAUGCCCCUUAUGUCUAGGGCUACACACGUGCUACAAUGGUGGGAACAAAGAGAUGCAAUACCGCAAGGUGGAGCCAAACUCAAAACCCCAUCCCAGUUCGGAUUGUAGGCUGAAACUCGCCUACAUGAAGCUGGAGUUGCUAGUAAUCGCGAAUCAGAAUGUCGCGGUGAAUACGUUCCCGGGUCUUGUACACACCG